Long non-coding RNA from Corvus hawaiiensis (hawaiian crow), 133 nucleotides. RefSeq lists it as uncharacterized. The transcript is spliced from 3 exons. The record is from RefSeq and is a predicted model, not a curated record. Lineage: Eukaryota; Metazoa; Chordata; Aves; Passeriformes; Corvidae.
UUAAAAGGCAAUUCCCUGUAACUGAAAUACAGACUCAUGGCCUGAAUUGGAAGGGCCCUUAAAGAUUAUCCAGUUCCAACCCCCUGCCAUGAGCAGGGACACCUUCCACUAUCCCAAGUUCUAUAAAGGCUGG